GAUGAACGCUGGCGGCGUGCCUAAUACAUGCAAGUCGAGCGAACGGACGAGAAGCUUGCUUCUCUGAUGUUAGCGGCGGACGGGUGUGUAACACGUGGAUAACCCACCUAUAAGACUGGGAUAACUUCGGGAAACCGUAGCUAAUACCGGAUAAUAUUUUGAACCGCAUGGUUCAAAAGUGAAAGACGGUCUUGCUGUCACUUAUAGAUGGAUCCGCGCUGCAUUAGCUAGUUGGUAAGGUAACGGCUUACCAAGGCAACGAUGCAUAGCCGACCUGAGAGGGUGAUCGGCCACCCUGGAACUGAGACACGGUCCAGACUCCUACGGGAGGCAGCAGUAGGGAAUCUGCCGCAAUGGGCGAAAGCCUGACGGAGCAACGCCGCGUGAGUGAUGAAGGUCUUCGGAUCGUAAAGCUCUGUUAUGAGGGAAGAACAUAUGUGUAAGUAACUGUGCACAUCUUGACGGUACCUAAUCAGAAAGCCACGGCUAACUACGUG
RNAcentral lists this ribosomal RNA (497 nucleotides) under uncultured bacterium. RNAcentral describes it as "partial 16S ribosomal RNA". It matches the Rfam family "Bacterial small subunit ribosomal RNA", at positions 28 to 507 of the family's 1533-position model. The record is from RNAcentral.